CUCUGGGUGACUCACAGAGAGGGAAGCCAUUCAACACAACAUUCCUCUCAAGCAAGGUACACAACCCAUUCUGCUAGCUCUGCUGUGGGGGAGGAUAGUGAUCUCCAACAGAGGGAUGGAGAAAAAGCUGGACACUGCCACAGCUUGCUUGUCUCUGUCCUAAGCAUCUGGAUAAAGAAUUGAGAGCUAUUCUGUCAAUUGAAAAGGAGACAGAAAAUAGAUGUCCACGUCAAUGGACCCUGGCACAAUGCCUCAUCCUGGUCCUUCCCCAGGGCCAGGUCCUUCACCUGGACCAAUUCUUGGACCUAGCCCAGGACCAGGGCCAUCUCCUGGCUCAGUACACAGCAUGAUGGGGCCGAGUCCUGGACCACCCAGUGUCCCACAUCCAAUGCCAACGAUGGGGCCCACUGAUUACCCACAGGAGGGCAUACACCAACUGCAUAAGCAGCCCACUGAUGGCUUGCAUGAAAAAGGAAUGGUUGAAGAUGUUCACUGUAGCUCCAUGAAGAGUAUGCGACCUCCUCACCCUGGAAUGGGCCCACCUCAGAGUCCAAUGGACCAACAUAG
This is a non-coding RNA of Struthio camelus australis, 567 nucleotides long. The record is from RefSeq and is a predicted model, not a curated record. Lineage: Eukaryota; Metazoa; Chordata; Aves; Struthioniformes; Struthionidae.